RNAcentral lists this ribosomal RNA (241 nucleotides) under uncultured bacterium. RNAcentral describes it as "partial 16S ribosomal RNA". It matches the Rfam family "Bacterial small subunit ribosomal RNA", at positions 336 to 593 of the family's 1533-position model. The record is from RNAcentral.
UUCCUACGGGGGGCAGCAGUCGGGAAUAUUGCGCAAUGGAGGAAACUCUGACGCAGUGACGCCGCGUAUAGGAAGAAGGUUUUCGGAUUGUAAACUAUUGUCCACAGGGAAGAUAAAAGACUGUACCUGUGAAGAAAGCUCCGGCUAACUACGUGCCAGCAGCCGCGGUAAUACGUAGGGAGCAAGCGUUAUCCGGAAUUAUUGGGCGUAAAGCGAGUGCAGGCGGUUCAAUAAGUCUGAU